RNAcentral lists this ribosomal RNA (495 nucleotides) under uncultured bacterium. RNAcentral describes it as "partial 16S ribosomal RNA". It matches the Rfam family "Bacterial small subunit ribosomal RNA", at positions 28 to 507 of the family's 1533-position model. The record is from RNAcentral.
GACGAACGCUGGCGGCGUGCCUAAUACAUGCAAGUCGAACGCUGAAGGAGGAGCUUGCUCUUCUGGAUGAGUUGCGAACGGGUGAGUAACGCGUAGGUAACCUGCCUGGUAGCGGGGGAUAACUAUUGGAAACGAUAGCUAAUACCGCAUAAUAGUAGAUGUUGCAUGAUAUUUACUUAAAAGGUGCAAUUGCACCACUACCAGAUGGACCUGCGUUGUAUUAGCUAGUUGGUGGGGUAACGGCUCACCAAGGCGACGAGACAUAGCCGACCGGAGAGGGGGGGCGGCCACCCUGGGACUGAGACCCGGCCCAGACUGCUUCGGGAGGCAGCAGUAGGGAAUCUUCGGCAAUGGGCGGAAGUCUGACCGAGCAACGCCGCGGGAGGGAAGAAGGUUUUCGGAUCGUAAAGCUCUGUUGUAAGGGAAGAACGAGUGUGAGAGUGGAAAGUUCACACUGUGACGGUAUCUUAUCAGAAAGGGACGGCUAACUACGUG